CAGGAGCAAUUGCAACCUUGGCUCUGACCUGUAUGUACAACAAGAUCCCUGUAGGUUCAGAGGAAGGUUACAGAUCCCUGUUUGGUCAGGCACUAAAGGAUAUUGUGGAGAAAAUCAGCAUGAAGAUCAAAGAUAAUGGCAUCAUUGGAGACAUCUACAGUACUGGCCUCGCCAUGCAGGUAAACAUGUGCUGGAUGCUCUUGGUUGGGUUCCUGCCAAUAAGCCUGGAUUGCAGAAUCAAGAGGCCAGGCUUCUACUAACAUCUCUGUGAAAGUCCAGCUAGUAUGACCUAAGAUAUAUUCUUUGUGGUGCCUGGGCCUCAGUUUCUCUACUGGUAAAAUGCAGGCUCUCUCUGUAACACCUGAGCCACCUAAAAAGGAAUGGAACUGCAAGAAGACUAUGGAUAUGAUACUUGAUGAGAUUAAGCAGGGGAAAUUCCACAACCCCAUGUCCAUUGCUCAAAUCCUCCCUUCCCUGAAAGGCAAGACAUACCUAGAUGUGCCCCAGGUCACUUGUAGUCCUGAUCAUGAGGUACAACCAACUCUACCCAGCAACCCUGGCCCUGGCCCCACCUCCUCAUCUAACAUCACUGUCAUAUACACCAUAAAUAACCAGCUGAGGGGGGUUGAGCUGCUCUUCAACGAGACCAUCAAUGUUAGUGUGAAAAGUGGGUCAGUGUUACUUGUUGUCCUAGAAGAAGCACAGCGCAAAAAUCCUAUGUUCAAGUGAGUAUUACAAAUGUCAU
This 745-nucleotide small RNA is filed under the name Pongo abelii (Sumatran orangutan). Its description in RNAcentral is "retained intron". Lineage: Eukaryota; Metazoa; Chordata; Mammalia; Primates; Hominidae. The record is from RNAcentral.